Molecule: ribosomal RNA, 256 nt
Filed under: uncultured Pseudomonas sp.
Lineage: Bacteria; Pseudomonadati; Pseudomonadota; Gammaproteobacteria; Pseudomonadales; Pseudomonadaceae
Description: partial 16S ribosomal RNA
Rfam family: Bacterial small subunit ribosomal RNA
Source: RNAcentral
CGGCGGACGGGCGAGUAAUGCCUAGGAAUCUGCCUGGUAGUGGGGGACAACGUUUCGAAAGGAACGCUAAUACCGCAUACGUCCUACGGGAGAAAGCAGGGACCUUCGGGCCUUGCGCUAUCAGAUGAGCCUAGGUCGGAUUAGCUAGUUGGUGAGGUAAUGGCUCACCAAGGCGACGAUCCGUAACUGGUCUGAGAGGAUGAUCAGUCACACUGGAACUGAGACACGGUCCAGACUCCUACGGGAGGCAGCAGUC